GUGAAAAAAAGCAUCAUAACUCACCAAGUCAUCAGUAUUCAGACAGAAAGAGACCAAGCAUUCAUAGACCUAAGAUCAAUCAAACCAAUCUUUGUUAAAAAUAUGCUAUCAAUGGGAACAACCAACCACGUAAAAAGGCAUUGUCCGCUUCCCCAAACAUUAAGUGGCUUUUGUGCACGUGCAUGUUGUUGAGUUUGUGGGUCAUAUUUCAAAGAAGAUACUGCUCACUAAAAACUCAAGGCAAAAUGGGAGGUGGGGUUCAUGGAGGGGGCUAUUUUUUAUAAUUGUAAAUGUCUCCUAUUACUGCAUUAAAGGAAAAUUCUAGCAACUCCAUAAAUAGGCACUUGUAAUAUUCUCCUUCAUAGUGAAAGGACCACAGGUAGCUCUCUAUGGUUGUAGGCACAUAACCA
RNAcentral lists this unclassified non-coding RNA (410 nucleotides) under Hevea brasiliensis (rubber tree). The record is from RNAcentral. Lineage: Eukaryota; Viridiplantae; Streptophyta; Magnoliopsida; Malpighiales; Euphorbiaceae.